RNAcentral lists this ribosomal RNA (165 nucleotides) under uncultured bacterium. RNAcentral describes it as "partial 16S rRNA". It matches the Rfam family "Bacterial small subunit ribosomal RNA", at positions 355 to 511 of the family's 1533-position model. The record is from RNAcentral.
UAGGGAAUCUUCGGCAAUGGACGAAAGUCUGACCGAGCAACGCCGCGUGAGUGAAGAAGGUUUUCGGAUCGUAAAACUCUGUUGGCAGAGAAGAACGUUGGUGAGAGUGGAAAGCUCAUCAAGUGACGGUAACUACCCAGAAAGGGACGGCUAACUACGUGCCCG